GCGGCCGGCAGGAGCGCGCGCGCCCUGGCAGAUCGCAGAGAGCCGAGCAUCCGCAGUACCGCGUCGCCCUGUUCUUCCACCUCCUCGGCUGCCUCCACGUGGACGUGCGGCGCCUCUAGUGCGAGACGCGGUUGUCGACGCCGAAGGGCCCGUUGGGCCGGUGGUUCUUGGAGACGGUCUUGACGAAGGACCGCAGGAGGAGGAGGAGCGGCAGCGGGAGGCGGCGGAGCGGCGGCAGGGGAAGGAGGAGCGGGCGCCGGCGCAAGGGCGAGAAGCUGUUCGGCUCCGGCCGGCGGCGGCGCAGCGGCCGGCGCGGGCAGAUGUACCGGCAGCUGGCCGGACGGCGGCCCGGCCGCCUGGGCUUCCGCAGGUUCAGCAGCCACUUGGCGACGGUGUUGACGGCCUUCGCGCACCCGGACUGCCCCAAGGCGACGGCCACGCCGCUCUACAAGACGCCGCGCGUGGCCAUGAGCCUGGCCGUGCUGACGUCGAUGCUGAUGUUCAGCCGCCGGUCCCUGCGGUAGCGGGCCCUCUUGGGGCAGCACGCGCGGCGGUUCUAGCAGGCCAAGACUAGUGGUGCUGAUGUUUAGGCUUCGUCGUCUCGGGUGAGAAAAGGAAAGAAAGGAAACUUUUUUAAUUUCCGCAGGGGCUCUCAAAGUUUUUUUUCCUCUCCUUCCACCCACUUUCUACCGCUACCCCGCCGGUGCUGCUUCUUUGUCACGCUACUAUUCCAACAACAACAUCGCCACCAACCGCCACCUCCCUUCUCUCCUCUACUCCUUCUACCCCAACCACACAUGACAACAGGGUGCUAGAGAUAAAUUAAGUUUAAAGGGAUAACAUAUUUAAUAAUAGUAGUAGUAAAGAUGCUACGUCAUAAGCGACCGAAAUCGACAGUCGGGAAAAGAGGGAGGGUGACCGGCGCUUAACAGGCACUGUCGAGUUGGUAACUGCAAACCUAGCGAGGCAACCUAGCCAAGCCG
RNAcentral lists this ribosomal RNA (983 nucleotides) under Triticum aestivum (bread wheat). Its description in RNAcentral is "partial small subunit ribosomal RNA". The record is from RNAcentral. Lineage: Eukaryota; Viridiplantae; Streptophyta; Magnoliopsida; Poales; Poaceae.